This 241-nucleotide small nuclear RNA is filed under the name Erinaceus europaeus (western European hedgehog). Its description in RNAcentral is "7SK RNA". The stretch from base 1 to 154 matches the Rfam family "7SK RNA". From Rfam's summary of the family: 7SK was discovered as an abundant small nuclear RNA in the mid-70s but a possible function has only recently been suggested. Two independent studies have found that 7SK RNA binds the CDK9/cyclin T complex (known as elongation factor P-TEFb). The record is from Rfam by way of RNAcentral. Lineage: Eukaryota; Metazoa; Chordata; Mammalia; Eulipotyphla; Erinaceidae.
GGAUGUGAGGGUGAUCUGGAUAACCAGAGUUGAUUGGCUGAUCUGGCUGGCUGGCUAGGCCCUUUCCUCCUUCCAUUGCUCCAUGUAUGUCUCUCCCAAAGCUGUGCUCAAUCAUAGAGGACAACUGUCCCUAAUAGAGAUGGACUUGCUAGAACCUCCAAACAUGCUCUCAAAGCCCAAAUAUGAAAUUAUUAACUGUCAUCAGUAUGCUGUACUUUAUAUCUCCAUGAUUAAUUUUUGG